CCUAGUCCUUUAGCGGGGGAUAGCCCUGGGAAACUGGGGGUAAUACCGCAUAAGCCAGUAAGAGCGCAUGCUCAUGCUGGGGAAGGGAUGCGCAAGCAUCUCACUGAAGGAGGGCUUUGCGGCCUAUCAGGUAGUUGGUGGGGUAAAGGCCUACCAAGCCGAUGACGGGUAGCUGGUCUGAGAGGACGAUCAGCCACACUGGGACUGAGAUACGGCCCAG
This 220-nucleotide ribosomal RNA is filed under the name uncultured bacterium. RNAcentral describes it as "partial 16S ribosomal RNA". It matches the Rfam family "Bacterial small subunit ribosomal RNA", at positions 124 to 334 of the family's 1533-position model. The record is from RNAcentral.